CCUACGGGGGGCAGCAGUGGGGAAUAUUGCACAAUGGGCGCAAGCCUGAUGCAGCCAUGCCGCGUGUGUGAAGAAGGCCUUCGGGUUGUAAAGCACUUUCAGCGGGGAGGAAGGCGGUGAGGUUAAUAACCUCAUCGAUUGACGUUACCCGCAGAAGAAGUACCGGCUAACUCCGUGCCAGCAGCCGCGGUAAUACGGAGGGUGCAAGCGUUAAUCGGAAUUACUGGGCGUAAAGCGCACGCAGGCGGUCUGUCAAGUCGGAUGUGAAAUCCCCGGGCUCAACCUGGGAACUGCAUUCGAAACUGGCAGGCUAGAGUCUUGUAGAGGGGGGUAGAAUUCCAGGUGUAGCGGUGAAAUGCGUAGAGAUCUGGAGGAAUACCGGUGGCGAAGGCGGCCCCCUGGACAAAGACUGACGCUCAGGUGCGAAAGCGUGGGGAGCAAACAGGAUUAGAUACCCUAGUAGUC
This 465-nucleotide ribosomal RNA is filed under the name uncultured Klebsiella sp. RNAcentral describes it as "bacterial SSU rRNA". It matches the Rfam family "Bacterial small subunit ribosomal RNA", at positions 338 to 795 of the family's 1533-position model. Lineage: Bacteria; Pseudomonadati; Pseudomonadota; Gammaproteobacteria; Enterobacterales; Enterobacteriaceae. The record is from RNAcentral.